UUCCAAUCGAGCCCGGAGAUAGCUGGUUCUCCCCGAAAUAGCUUUAGGGCUAGCCUCAAGGUGAGAGAUACGGAGGUAGAGCACUGAAUGUCCUAGGGGGGAUUGCACCUACCGAAGACUAUCAAACUCCGAAUGCCGUCAUCUUAUACUUGGGAGUCAGACUGGGGGUGAUAAGAUUCAUAGUCGAAAGGGCAACAGCCCAGAUCGUCAGCUAAGGUCCCUAAAUGUAAG
RNAcentral lists this ribosomal RNA (231 nucleotides) under Clostridioides difficile. Its description in RNAcentral is "partial 23S ribosomal RNA". It matches the Rfam family "Bacterial large subunit ribosomal RNA", at positions 827 to 1058 of the family's 2925-position model. Lineage: Bacteria; Bacillati; Bacillota; Clostridia; Peptostreptococcales; Peptostreptococcaceae. The record is from RNAcentral.